This 412-nucleotide long non-coding RNA is filed under the name Mytilus galloprovincialis (Mediterranean mussel). Lineage: Eukaryota; Metazoa; Mollusca; Bivalvia; Mytilida; Mytilidae. The record is from RNAcentral.
CAUAUCUUUAUUUGAUGAAUUAUAAUUGUGAGUGUCCACUUUGAAGGCAAUAGUAAAAUACUUUCUUUCUAGUUGACACUAAAAGACAUAAGAGGAUAGCCAGGAUAGAUGUGUCUACAAAUAAAAUUGGGAAUUGAAAUGGGGUAUGUGUCUAAAAGACAACAACCCGCCCAUGGAGCAGACAGCAUCCAAAGGCCACAAAUACAUGCUUUCAAAGUAAAGGAUAUAUAUUUAAAACAUCAAAAGGACAUUCUCCUCAUGCAAUGAUCUUAUAGUUUAUAAACAAAAAUUGAGUUAUAAAUUUACAUAAGUCAUGCUGAAGGCCAAAAAUGUUGAAGAGUAGAUCUAAAGAUAUUGAUAAUGAAGCGUGGUCCAAUGAAAACUAUUUCAGCUCUCUCUUGCCUUUACAGAG